RNAcentral lists this non-coding RNA (55 nucleotides) under unclassified sequences. RNAcentral's name for it is "Li+-I sequence". It matches the Rfam family "nhaA-I RNA". From Rfam's summary of the family: Acidobacteria, Alphaproteobacteria, Betaproteobacteria and Gammaproteobacteria, Verrucomicrobia, cand. division NC10. Downstream gene The record is from Rfam by way of RNAcentral.
GGGUGUGGCAGCACUAACGCUGCCGCAGGCAAUUUGGAUGGUCGGGCCGCCAUCC